GUUUUGAAACGCAAGGACAUGAGGUUUGGAGGGGUCAGGGCAGAAUGAUAUGGUUUGGCUGUGUCCCCAUUCAAAUCUCAACUUGAAUUUUAUCUCCCAGAAUUCCCACAUGUUGUGGAAGGGACCCAGUGGGAGGUCAAAUGAAUCAUGGGGGCUGGUCUUUCCCGUGCUAGUCUCAUGAUAGUAAGUCUCAUGAGAUUCAGUGGGUUUAUUAGGGAUUUCUGCUUUUGCUUCCUCAUUUUCUCUUGCCACCACCAUGUACAAAGAACCUUUCACCUCCCGCCAAGAUUCUGAGGCCUCACAAGUCUUCAUCAACCACCUGAAAUUCUCCAAGAUGAGCUGGAUCAUCAACCCAAAUAAAACCUGGAGGAAAAGGAAAAGAAAGGUCAUUGGUACAGGACAAAGACCCAGCCUCCUAGAACACUGAUAGGCCAGAACAGAAAAGGGUGGAAAGUGGAUCUGAAGAGCAAAUUGCAAACAACAACAACAAAAAAAAAGAAAAAAAAAAAGAACUCAUUUGAUUAACAACUUUCCUCUAUGCUCAUGUCAAACUAUGUCUAAAUAUCUUGGCAUAUAUUAGGGAAGAUGCUUUUUCACUUUCAUUGGGUAAUUAUUUGGCUAGGCCACCCAAUCUCCCCCAUAUAACUAUAGUACUGAAAAUGUAAAAAUAGUUAAAGAUAAAAGUAGAAUUCCCAUUCUUUUUUGUUCUUAGAUGAUUUAUGAAGUGUCCAUUGGUAUAUGCAUAUGGGUAUCUAUUUUCCUAGGUCAGGAAUUUACAGAACAUUAAAAAAAAAUGCUUUCCUAGUUAUAUAGUUUUCUACUUCAGUCCUUUUUUAAGAAUGAAGCAUAUUCAAGAGACU
Molecule: long non-coding RNA, 860 nt
Filed under: Homo sapiens (human)
Lineage: Eukaryota; Metazoa; Chordata; Mammalia; Primates; Hominidae
Description: HSALNT0180241
Source: RNAcentral